Molecule: non-coding RNA, 46 nt
Filed under: Schistosoma haematobium
Lineage: Eukaryota; Metazoa; Platyhelminthes; Trematoda; Strigeidida; Schistosomatidae
Also listed under: 1 other name
Source: RNAcentral
GCACUGCUGAGGAGUCCCACACUAGGACGAAACGGCAGUCCAGUGC